AACGAACGCUGGCGGCAUGCCUAACACAUGCAAGUCGAACGAGACCUUCGGGUCUAGUGGCUCACGGGUGCGUAACGCGUCGGAACCUGCCCUUAGGUUCGGAAUAACUCCCCGAAAUGGGGGCUAAUACCGGAUAAUGUCUUCUGACCAAACAUUUAUCGCCUUUGUAUGGGCCCGCGUUGUAUUAGCUAGUUGGUAGGGUAAAAGCCUACCAAGGCGACGAUCCAUAGCUGAUCUGAGAGGAUGAUCAGCCACACUGGGACUGAGACACGGCCCAGACUCCUACGGGAGGCAGCAGUGGGGAAUAUUGGACAAUGGGCGAAAGCCUGAUCCAGCAAUGCUGCGUGAGUGAUGAAGGCCUUAGGGUUGUAAAGCUCUUUUACCCGGGAUGAUAAUGACAGUACCGGGAGAAUAAGCUCCGGCUAACUCCGUG
Molecule: ribosomal RNA, 433 nt
Filed under: uncultured bacterium
Lineage: Bacteria
Description: partial 16S ribosomal RNA
Rfam family: Bacterial small subunit ribosomal RNA
Source: RNAcentral